Molecule: ribosomal RNA, 513 nt
Filed under: uncultured bacterium
Lineage: Bacteria
Description: partial 16S ribosomal RNA
Rfam family: Bacterial small subunit ribosomal RNA
Source: RNAcentral
GACGAACGCUGGCGGCAUGCCUAAUACAUGCAAGUCGAGCGAACAGAUGAAGUGCUUGCACUUCUGACGUUAGCGGCGAACGGGUGAGUAACACGUAAGGAAUCUACCUAUAAGCGGGGGAUAACAUUCGGAAACGGGUGCUAAUACCGCAUAAUAUCUUCUUCCGCAUGGAAGAAGAUUGAAAGACGGCUCUGCUGGCACUUCUAGAUGACCUUGCGGUGCAUUAGUGAGUUGGUGGGGUAACGGCCUACCAAGACGAUGAUGCAGAGCCGACCUGAGAGGGUGAUCGGCCACAUUGGGACUGAGACACGGCCCAAACUCCUACGGGAGGCAGCAGUAGGGAAUCUUCCGCAAUGGGCGAAAGCCUGACGGAGCAAUGCCGCGUGAGUGAAGAAGGCCUUCGGGUCGUAAAACUCUGUUAUAAGAGAAGAACAAAUUGUAGAGUAACUGCUACAGUCUUGACGGUAUCUUAUCAGAAAGCCACGGCUAACUACGUGCCAGCAGCCGCCGUAA